CCACUAUCAUUCUGAGGCCUUCCCACCCAUGUGGAACUCUGAACUCACAAGAAAAUAAGGAAGACCUCCUGGAGGGAAAACAAGCAAGAACUGAAAACAAGUGCCGUCAGUGAAUGGAAUGAGAUUUCUCAAGCAUGUACCCUGUGACAGUCACUUCACUAAAAAUCAGAAACUCAAACAUGGAACUGGAUGCUAGUUCUGUCCUCAAGAAGCUCAGAGUCUUUCAGAAAAAGAGGAGCCGUGAGACAAAUUACCAAGUGCAAGCUCAGAAGCCUUGCGUUUGUGGUGAGAGAUGAAGAGGGAGUUUGUAAAGAUGUGAAAGCAGGGUCUUUCUCCUUGAAGUUCUGGGGAGGAAUUGUAAAUCUGUUUGUCUAUUGCCAAAGAAUACUUGCCUUGGAAACUAGAGAGAGCCUCAGAUUCAGUCUCAGUGAUAAAGUGCUUCUAAACUGGGUCAGGGACAAAAACAAAGGACAGACGAUACCAUAAAUAAUGAACUUAUGGGGCAGAAAGUGUCAGCUCAAGUAUUUAGAGGCUCUCUACAAGGAAAAGGAAACUAGGAAUGUAAUGAUUUCAUGAGAGGUUUUGGAAGCCUUCAAAAUCAAUAAAUCAAUUAAUUAUUUAGUUCAGUACUUUUCUCUCUUACUAGCAUAUUAUGAUUUCCCCAACUUCAUCUCUCCCUGGUCAUAUCUGUCCUCUACAAUAUUCCAAGGUUGAUCUUUCUGGGAUAAUAUUUUGAUCUUGUUACUCUCCUUUUAAGAAUAAAGGUAAAAUUUAAAUGGUCAUUUGAGGUCAUUUUAACUGUAUUCUGUGUUUUAAGAAGCCCUCCAACUGAUUCUGAUGCAUAGUAAG
RNAcentral lists this long non-coding RNA (849 nucleotides) under Homo sapiens (human). RNAcentral describes it as "HSALNT0366243". The record is from RNAcentral. Lineage: Eukaryota; Metazoa; Chordata; Mammalia; Primates; Hominidae.